RNAcentral lists this long non-coding RNA (336 nucleotides) under Elaeis guineensis (African oil palm). RNAcentral describes it as "long non-coding RNA (EGUI_LNC077049)". The record is from RNAcentral. Lineage: Eukaryota; Viridiplantae; Streptophyta; Magnoliopsida; Arecales; Arecaceae.
GGGUGUGGAGAUAUAAUAGAUACAAAACUAAGUGUCUGGAUUAGAGCAAAGAGAAGAAGAAGAGGGUCUUCUUCUAGGGUUGCUGAUUUCACCUCUUUUCUUCCUCCUUCUGUGAGUUAUCUGAGAGUGUCUCACAUAUAAAAAUCCUUCUCAUACUUCUCAUCUUUGGAAGAGUCUAAAUCAAGAAGAAAGAGGCAUCUGAUUGACCAUCGAAGAAGGAUCAGCACAGUACUAGCAUACUGUGCUGAUUUUCUGGAUCAGAACUUCUGAUCGUGAUUCGUGGGCUCGUGUGGAUGACUCCUAGAGGUCGGAUGUGUGUGCGUCUUACAAUGUCAU